AACGAACGCUGGCGGCAGGCCUAACACAUGCAAGUCGAGCGCGCCCUUCGGGGUGAGCGGCGGACGGGUGAGUAACGCGUGGGAACGUGCCCUUUUCUACGGAAUAGCCUCGGGAAACUGAGAGUAAUACCGUAUACGCCCUUUGGGGGAAAGAUUUAUCGGAAAAGGAUCGGCCCGCGUUCGAUUAGGUAGUUGGUGGGGUAAUGGCCUACCAAGCCGACGAUCCAUAGCUGGUUUGAGAGGAUGAUCAGCCACACUGGGACUGAGACACGGCCCAGACUCCUACGGGAGGCAGCAGUGGGGAAUCUUAGACAAUGGGGGCAACCCUGAUCUAGCCAUGCCGCGUGAGUGAUGAAGGCCUUAGGGUUGUAAAGCUCUUUCAGCUGGGAAGAUAAUGACGGUACCAGCAGAAGAAGCCCCGGCUAACUCCGUG
Molecule: ribosomal RNA, 433 nt
Filed under: uncultured bacterium
Lineage: Bacteria
Description: partial 16S ribosomal RNA
Rfam family: Bacterial small subunit ribosomal RNA
Source: RNAcentral